This 2906-nucleotide ribosomal RNA is filed under the name Klebsiella pasteurii. Its description in RNAcentral is "23S ribosomal RNA". It matches the Rfam family "Bacterial large subunit ribosomal RNA". Lineage: Bacteria; Pseudomonadati; Pseudomonadota; Gammaproteobacteria; Enterobacterales; Enterobacteriaceae. The record is from RNAcentral.
GGUUAAGCGACUAAGCGUACACGGUGGAUGCCCUGGCAGUCAGAGGCGAUGAAGGACGUGCUAAUCUGCGAAAAGCGUCGGUAAGGUGAUAUGAACCGUUACAGCCGGCGAUGUCCGAAUGGGGAAACCCAGUGCAAUUCGUUGCACUAUCGUUUGAUGAAUACAUAGUCAAACGAGGCGAACCGGGGGAACUGAAACAUCUAAGUACCCCGAGGAAAAGAAAUCAACCGAGAUUCCCCCAGUAGCGGCGAGCGAACGGGGAGCAGCCCGGAGUCUGAAUCAGCUUGUGUGUUAGUGGAAGCGUCUGGAAAGUCGCAGGGUACAGGGUGAUACUCCCGUACACUAAAACGCACAGGCUGUGAACUCGAAGAGUAGGGCGGGACACGUGGUAUCCUGUCUGAAUAUGGGGGGACCAUCCUCCAAGGCUAAAUACUCCUGACUGACCGAUAGUGAACCAGUACCGUGAGGGAAAGGCGAAAAGAACCCCGGCGAGGGGAGUGAAAAAGAACCUGAAACCGUGUACGUACAAGCAGUAGGAGCCCACUUGUUGGGUGACUGCGUACCUUUUGUAUAAUGGGUCAGCGACUUAUAUUCUGUAGCAAGGUUAACCGUAUAGGGGAGCCGCAGGGAAACCGAGUCUUAACUGGGCGUUAAGUUGCAGGGUAUAGACCCGAAACCCGGUGAUCUAGCCAUGGGCAGGUUGAAGGUUGGGUAACACUAACUGGAGGACCGAACCGACUAAUGUUGAAAAAUUAGCGGAUGACUUGUGGCUGGGGGUGAAAGGCCAAUCAAACCGGGAGAUAGCUGGUUCUCCCCGAAAGCUAUUUAGGUAGCGCCUCGUGAAUUCAUCUUCGGGGGUAGAGCACUGUUUCGGCUAGGGGGUCAUCCCGACUUACCAACCCGAUGCAAACUACGAAUACCGAAGAAUGUUAUCACGGGAGACACACGGCGGGUGCUAACGUCCGUCGUGAAGAGGGAAACAACCCAGACCGCCAGCUAAGGUCCCAAAGUCAUGGUUAAGUGGGAAACGAUGUGGGAAGGCCCAGACAGCCAGGAUGUUGGCUUAGAAGCAGCCAUCAUUUAAAGAAAGCGUAAUAGCUCACUGGUCGAGUCGGCCUGCGCGGAAGAUGUAACGGGGCUAAACCAUGCACCGAAGCUGCGGCAGCGACACUAUGUGUUGUUGGGUAGGGGAGCGUUCUGUAAGCCGUUGAAGGUGGCCUGUGAGGGUUGCUGGAGGUAUCAGAAGUGCGAAUGCUGACAUAAGUAACGAUAAUGCGGGUGAAAAACCCGCACGCCGGAAGACCAAGGGUUCCUGUCCAACGUUAAUCGGGGCAGGGUGAGUCGACCCCUAAGGCGAGGCCGAAAGGCGUAGUCGAUGGGAAACAGGUUAAUAUUCCUGUACUUGGUGUUACUGCGAAGGGGGGACGGAGAAGGCUAUGUUGGCCGGGCGACGGUUGUCCCGGUUUAAGCGUGUAGGUGUGUGUUCCAGGUAAAUCCGGUUCACUUUAACACUGAGGCGUGAUGACGAGGCACUACGGUGCUGAAGUGACAAAUGCCCUGCUUCCAGGAAAAGCCUCUAAGCAUCAGGUAACAUCAAAUCGUACCCCAAACCGACACAGGUGGUCAGGUAGAGAAUACCAAGGCGCUUGAGAGAACUCGGGUGAAGGAACUAGGCAAAAUGGUGCCGUAACUUCGGGAGAAGGCACGCUGAUACGUAGGUGAAGUGGUUUACCCAUGGAGCUGAAAUCAGUCGAAGAUACCAGCUGGCUGCAACUGUUUAUUAAAAACACAGCACUGUGCAAACACGAAAGUGGACGUAUACGGUGUGACGCCUGCCCGGUGCCGGAAGGUUAAUUGAUGGGGUUAUCCGUAAGGAGAAGCUCUUGAUCGAAGCCCCGGUAAACGGCGGCCGUAACUAUAACGGUCCUAAGGUAGCGAAAUUCCUUGUCGGGUAAGUUCCGACCUGCACGAAUGGCGUAAUGAUGGCCAGGCUGUCUCCACCCGAGACUCAGUGAAAUUGAACUCGCUGUGAAGAUGCAGUGUACCCGCGGCAAGACGGAAAGACCCCGUGAACCUUUACUAUAGCUUGACACUGAACACUGGUCCUUGAUGUGUAGGAUAGGUGGGAGGCUUUGAAGUGUGGACGCCAGUCUGCAUGGAGCCAUCCUUGAAAUACCACCCUUUAAUGGCUGGUGUUCUAACGUGGGCCCGUAAUCCGGGUUGCGGACAGUGUCUGGUGGGUAGUUUGACUGGGGCGGUCUCCUCCUAAAGAGUAACGGAGGAGCACGAAGGUCAGCUAAUCCUGGUCGGACAUCAGGAGGUUAGUGCAAUGGCAUAAGCUGGCUUGACUGCGAGCGUGACGGCGCGAGCAGGUGCGAAAGCAGGUCAUAGUGAUCCGGUGGUUCUGAAUGGAAGGGCCAUCGCUCAACGGAUAAAAGGUACUCCGGGGAUAACAGGCUGAUACCGCCCAAGAGUUCAUAUCGACGGCGGUGUUUGGCACCUCGAUGUCGGCUCAUCACAUCCUGGGGCUGAAGUAGGUCCCAAGGGUAUGGCUGUUCGCCAUUUAAAGUGGUACGCGAGCUGGGUUUAGAACGUCGUGAGACAGUUCGGUCCCUAUCUGCCGUGGGCGCUGGAGAAUUGAGGGGGGCUGCUCCUAGUACGAGAGGACCGGAGUGGACGCAUCACUGGUGUUCGGGUUGUCAUGCCAAUGGCAUUGCCCGGUAGCUAAAUGCGGAAGAGAUAAGUGCUGAAAGCAUCUAAGUACGAAACUUGCCCCGAGAUGAGUUCUCCCUGACUCCUUGAGAGUCCUGAAGGAACGUUGAAGACGACGACGUUGAUAGGCCGGGUGUGUAAGCGCAGCGAUGCGUUGAGCUAACCGGUACUAAUGAACCGUGAGGCUUAACCUU